Nerophis ophidion (straightnose pipefish) is the source of this 201-nucleotide long non-coding RNA. RefSeq lists it as uncharacterized. The transcript is spliced from 3 exons. NCBI's taxonomy places the organism in Eukaryota, Metazoa, Chordata, Actinopteri, Syngnathiformes, Syngnathidae. The record is from RefSeq and is a predicted model, not a curated record.
CACCGAGUUUAUUUGAUCUGGAUGUGACAAGUCUUGUUUUAAGGCCCAGUGGAUCAAUGAUUGGAAAGACACCAACUGUUGAUGUUCUAUCUCAACAUUCUCCAGACUCAUGUGAGCGAUAAACCGACUUCAUCCCUCCAACAGACACCAACUGUUGGGGUUCUAUCUCAACAUUCUCCAGAUUCAGAUGUGAGCGAUACA